RNAcentral lists this ribosomal RNA (803 nucleotides) under Pseudomonas sp. EC8. Its description in RNAcentral is "bacterial SSU rRNA". It matches the Rfam family "Bacterial small subunit ribosomal RNA", at positions 40 to 838 of the family's 1533-position model. Lineage: Bacteria; Pseudomonadati; Pseudomonadota; Gammaproteobacteria; Pseudomonadales; Pseudomonadaceae. The record is from RNAcentral.
UCGGAGGCCUAACACAUGCAAGUCGAGCGGUAGACAGAAGCUUGCUUCUCUUGAGAGCGGCGGACGGGUGAGUAAUGCCUAGGAAUCUGCCUAGUGGUGGGGGAUAACGUUCGGAAACGGACGCUAAUACCGCAUACGUCCUACGGGAGAAAGCGGGGGACCUUCGGGCCUCGCGCCAUUAGAUGAGCCUAGGUCGGAUUAGCUAGUUGGUGAGGUAAUGGCUCACCAAGGCUACGAUCCGUAACUGGUCUGAGAGGAUGAUCAGUCACACUGGAACUGAGACACGGUCCAGACUCCUACGGGAGGCAGCAGUGGGGAAUAUUGGACAAUGGGCGAAAGCCUGAUCCAGCCAUGCCGCGUGUGUGAAGAAGGUCUUCGGAUUGUAAAGCACUUUAAGUUGGGAGGAAGGGUAGUAACUUAAUACGUUGCUACUUUGACGUUACCGACAGAAUAAGCACCGGCUAACUUCGUGCCAGCAGCCGCGGUAAUACGAAGGGUGCAAGCGUUAAUCGGAAUUACUGGGCGUAAAGCGCGCGUAGGUGGUUCAGUAAGUUGGAUGUGAAAUCCCCGGGCUCAACCUGGGAACUGCAUCCAAAACUGCUGAACUAAAGUACGGUAAAGGGUAGUGGAAUUUCCUGUGUAGCGGUGAAAUGCGUAAAUAUAGGAAGGAACACCAUUGGCGAAGGCGACUACCUGGACUGAUACUGACACUGAGGUGCAAAAGCGUGGGGAGCAAACAGGAUUAAAUACCCUGGUAGUCCACGCCGUAAACAUUGUCAACUAGCCGUUGGGAGUCUUGAACU